CAACGACCGGAUUUGGUGUGUGGUAGUAACAGGUGAAACACAGCUGCCACACAGAGCCAGCUGCACGAACAGGCCGCGGCGUGGACACGUGAGUAUUAAUAACACGUGGACCCAAAGGACGCAGAGCUGCCGGCGUUCUGAUGGCAGGCGCCAGGACGUGUUGGACUUGUGUGACCCGGGCAGCUUAUUUUCCUCUGAGCGCGUUUAAAGGUGAUUUCUGUAAUAACGCAGCGCAGCGCUCCAUCCUCCUCCACCUUCCUCGAUAUCAUUUCCCCUCCAACUCAAUCACGUCAGCACGCCUCGCCUGCAGCACAUUUACAGAGUCCAACAUUCAAUCAGGACACCAUUCCCCCUCCAGGCCGAUAUCUGAGCUUUGCUCUGACGCGUCACAUGAAAUGUACUUUCUACAGUCACAGC
Oreochromis niloticus (Nile tilapia) is the source of this 417-nucleotide long non-coding RNA. RefSeq lists it as uncharacterized. NCBI's taxonomy places the organism in Eukaryota, Metazoa, Chordata, Actinopteri, Cichliformes, Cichlidae. The transcript is spliced from 3 exons. The record is from RefSeq and is a predicted model, not a curated record.